AUCCAUGUACCGCAAUGGAUAGUGCGUUGAACUUCCAUUCCAAAUGUCGUGGAUUCGAAUCCCACCAGGGAUG
This is a non-coding RNA of Trichonephila clavata, 73 nucleotides long. The record is from the annotation of a GenBank genome assembly. Lineage: Eukaryota; Metazoa; Arthropoda; Arachnida; Araneae; Nephilidae.